UACUUGAAGGUGUACUCAACAUGAGGUUUUAACAUCCACACCACCAUCACAAGAACCAUUUACAGAGUUCAAAAGCAACUGCGUAACAGGAACAACCCAGUGAACAGAACAAAAGACAGACAGAGAAUGGAAGAGACUGAGUGUGAGACCAUAUAAUAAGCAGGAGGAACGAGACCGGGAGCUACGCCUCUCCGUGGAAACACGCACACUUUCAGUCACACACCUGGGCGGAC
RNAcentral lists this long non-coding RNA (233 nucleotides) under Sinocyclocheilus grahami. RNAcentral describes it as "lncRNA (ENSSGRG00000039942.1)". The record is from RNAcentral. Lineage: Eukaryota; Metazoa; Chordata; Actinopteri; Cypriniformes; Cyprinidae.